Molecule: RNA transcript, 1831 nt
Organism: Vespa crabro (European hornet)
Lineage: Eukaryota; Metazoa; Arthropoda; Insecta; Hymenoptera; Vespidae
Exons: 2
Source: RefSeq, a predicted model, not a curated record
AAUAUUAAUAGUACAAUAUGAAUAUUAUAACAGAGGAUGAUAAAUUUGUCCCAUUACAUUUUGUAUUUUGUAAUUUUUAUGGUGAAGAUACAUGUUUUUGUUGGAACGAUGAUAAAUUUGUUAUGUUUCCAUACGUACAAGAAAAAUAUACAUCUUUGUUGCCAGUUUUGAUUGCACCGAAACAAAUAAAAACUAUACAAUGCUUUUCCAAUAGAGUUUUCUUUACAUGUUUACCACAUGGUGUAUAUAAACUUUCAAGAGAUAGAAGAUUCAGUGUAUUAAGUAAAAGUGCUAUAAGUGUUGGUUCCAUAUUUUUUGAGAUACUUAAGACAAAGGAUGAUCACUUAUAUUUGGAAAAUAAACAAAACAAAUCGAGUAAAAUAUUACUUCAUUUGCCACUCAUGUCAAAACAACUAGAAGAAUUAUGUACUUUUCCUUUGAACAUGGAAAAUUCAGAACAUGAAUUUAGAAACAUAUUACUAGAUAAAAUUGAUAUGGUAGAUAAUUUAUGUUUGAUUGGAAAUGGUAAAAAGUUAUUUACUUUAACAAAAGAAGUAAUUCAUUUAAUUCAUAGUUGUGAUAAUAAAAUAAUAAACAUUGUACCUAUACAAAAUGACAAAAAGAUUAAUGGAUUAGUACUUAUAACAAAUACAGAUGCAAUUAUCAUUGUGCAUUCAAAAAAUAAUAUAUUACGCUAUAAAAAACUUUAUCUAGGAGUAAAUGUUAAAACCCUUUGUGCAGGACUUAAUUACCAAUGUAGCGAUAAAAUAUGGAUUGUUUAUUCCGAUGGAUCCAAAUUGUAUUAUAUGAUAAUGACACUUUCUACCGAAAUAUAUAAGAAAGUAAAAAUAGAAGAAAAAAAUUUUAUUUGCGUGCAAUAUUAUGAAAAAGAUAAAUUUGUAGGUCUAACUAAAACAAAAGAACUUCAUGAAUUAUCCAUUAAUCCAAUAGAAAAUUGUGUAAAUGAAGAAAUUUCCAAAGAUGAUUUUAUAAAUCUUCAUAAAGAUAUGUUAAAAGGUACAGAUUUAAUUGUUGAACAAAUCUAUGAAAGAGCAAAAGAACUAGAAUUGUGGAAUAAAAUACUUCUUACUGAAGAAGAUAAACUUUAUAGAAUAAAUCUUUAUGCUUGCAGAAAGAAAAUACAAAUGUAUCCUAAAAUGACAGUAUAUAGAAUAGCAAAUCAAUUAUUUCUUAAUAUGGAUUUUCAAGAAAAUUUACCAAAAAAUGUUUAUAUUGUUUGUUUCUUAGUAUCCAAUUAUGAAACAACUUUCUCUAUCAAAGAAAUAGUAAAUAAUGAAACUUCAAUCGAUUUACCUAUAGUAACAAAAAAAUUAUUUAAUUCUUUACAAAUCAGAAUGGAUUUAGUAACAAUCAUAAACGUAGAGCAACCAUGGUUUCUUAUAAGAGAUUUUGUAACAGAUCCAGUUAUAGAGAAGAAGAAGAAACUAAAAGAAAAGCAAAUUAAGAGAGAUAAAACAAAUUUUAUAAAUGCUAAAAUAAAUCUUAUAAGGAAUUUAAUGUUGACAAAAAACUUAACUAUGAAAAAAUUAUCAGAGAUGAAAAAGAAGAUAAGAAAAGAAAUAUGUGACUUUUAAUUUAAUAAUGUAAGCAAUCAUUUCAUAACAUAAAAUGUCUUAUGUUAUUACUAUCACAAUUUUUUAAAAAAGUUUAUAAAAUCAUUUAUGUAAUUAAGAACUGGGCAUUUCUAUUAUACUUCCAAUACUGCAACUGGAACUCUUUGGUUGUUUCACAGAAUUUCUAAAACUAUUUUGUAUUCUGGGACCACCAAGUCGAUCUUGAAGUGUAUCUAAUGAUUUAGCACUUUUCUUCG